This 2181-nucleotide long non-coding RNA is filed under the name Daphnia pulicaria. RNAcentral's name for it is "uncharacterized LOC124344083, transcript variant X1". Lineage: Eukaryota; Metazoa; Arthropoda; Branchiopoda; Diplostraca; Daphniidae. The record is from RNAcentral.
ACUACACGCCGUACGUUUCUGUCUCUUGCCGUUUUUAUGUCCGCUUAAGAAAAUUUCAAGUCUUGGCUUUAGAAAAGUUCAAGAAUUGGUGAUGUUUUCAUGGGCAAUGAAACAGCCGACGAUUGGAAGCGGAUAAUAUUUGAAGACGUACCUGAGCCUAAUUCACUGCCUUUCGAUCUUAGUGCCAAACAAGUGGAUAUUUGUCCACUAAAUCUUAGUGCUAAGCCAGUGGAUCUCAGUGCCAGCCGUCUUCGGUAUUCAGCCAGUCAACCAACUGAAACUCAGCUAGUCAACCUGUCCUCGGGCAACGCGCCUACUCCAUCGGCUACAUUAAACCUGCCUUCCGCUGGGGUUUUAAGGGUUGAUCGUUCAAAGUUUCGUGAUCUUUCAUCAGAACAUCAAUCCGGAUCGUCCAAAAAUUCCUUUUAAAAUUGGAAAUUGGGUUUCGCGGAACCGCUGUCAAACACAACUCGACAUUCUGAUUGACGAGGCGCUCUGCCUGUACUCCAAAGAAGAGGACGGCUACAAAAGAGCCAUGAAAGCAGAGAAAGAUGCACAAAACCAGAUAGCAUGGGAAAUGUCAGCGGAACAGCCAACGUUAGAUAUGUGCAUGAGUAUAUUUAUGGGGGCUAUUUACCUUGGCCACAUUAACGACGCCAUUAGGUGGAUCCGGAUUGACAUACAAGACGCCAUUCUAUACAGACAGAUGAAGAAGCAUGUGCUUAUUCUUGAGCAACAAGAUGUAUCUGGUUUCCCACGCCCGGAUCCCAACAGUAGUGGCCGUGCCGUUGUCAAUUCCACAACGUUAUUCCGCAUAAUGGUUGAGAAAGCCAACAGCGAAGGACUGGCCGGCAAACAGGACGACACCAGUUUCGAUGGAAAAAUGCACUUGAAUGUUCGGAAACCGGAAGUCUCAUCAACAUAGAGGGGUCAUACCAGCCUCUAUUUGUGCGUCUCCAUUGAAUUUACGCCGUUUACGCUUUGCAUUGCGACUAUUUCCUGACGGCGUCUGGACCUGAAACCACACGAGUCAUCGGAACCACGCAGCGGUGACAUUAAAGAGAAAGAAAAACACACGAAAAAUCUUAAUAUAAAAACAUUUUUUAUUGUCAUGAAAAGCUAGGUAAAGGUACCCGUCACAGACAUAAAAGAUUAAAAACGGACAUUGACGGCUUCAAAUGGCAUAGUUAAUACAAACAAGUAUUGUUCUCGCUAGAAUACACUCCCCGGCGUAAUAGCAUGUUUUGCCACUAGAGCGCCGUGGAUCCACAGUGCAAUAGCACUAUGUGACACUAGAGCGCCGUGGACUCCACGGUGCAAUAGGCGUGACCCUGUCUUAAACUAUUAAUGCCGCCAAUAUAAAAGAUAAUGAUGUGCCCAAUGCAGUGGUAAACAACGAACAUGAUGUACACCCGAGUCCCCCCCCCCCAAAAAAAAGGCGCAAAAAAUAAUAGUACCACAACGAAAUUGGUUGUGCGCUUACUGUCAUCUAGAAAUGUCAUUUUUCAACGCAAAAUAAGUGGGAAGGAUGGGUGAUAAGCAUAUUGUUUACAGUGGCGGUUCAACCCGUCGCCCGUCCCGUAAAAAAAUGCUUCGGUGGGUUGAUAUUUUUUUGAGGUUUUUUUUCCUUUAGCCCGAACAGUGGCCCGGGUUUUCAUGGCCCGGGCCACAGCCCUAAUUGAGAACCACGAACGUGAAAAGCCGUCGAAAAUUCCUUUGAUUUACGAACGCGCCUGCUAAUAGCAGAAAAAAUGGGCAAUCCCUUGAUGUAGCUAUUCACGGCAUGUUUCUUAUCACUUGGUGUCCUUACCAAUUGUUGUUUUUUUCUAAUUUUUCUUCUUUUUGUCCUCACGAAUUUGGUUUAUCUAAUUGAAACCAACCCAGCAUACCAGUUUAAAGGUACAAACACAUUUACUUGCUUUUUCCAAGAAGUACUAAAAUAUUUCCAUUUUUAAGUUAAUUCAUAGACAGCAUGCUCAACCAGCAAACAUUUUUUAAAGAGAAAUUUGGCAAAUAAUGACAAAUUUUUAUGUAUAAAACGGGUCAUAUGAGUGAAAUUUUGAAAAUUUAGUCGCCCUUUAGCGUUACUCAGCAAAAAAGUUCGCUAACUUACAGGCUGACAGUUUUGCGUUCCUUUUUUAAGUGCCAGCUCCUAUGUAAUCUUUUUUUUUCAAUCGAUAU